UCACUAUGAUUAAUAUCCUAGCAUUCACAGUUACCACCAGAAAAGUUUUUCCUCAUGCUGGCCAGUUCUUGGAGGCCUAAGUGA
Molecule: small nucleolar RNA, 84 nt
Organism: Capra hircus (goat)
Lineage: Eukaryota; Metazoa; Chordata; Mammalia; Artiodactyla; Bovidae
Gene: SNORD14
Rfam family: Small nucleolar RNA SNORD14
About the family: U14 small nucleolar RNA (U14 snoRNA) is required for early cleavages of eukaryotic precursor rRNAs.
Source: Ensembl